UACGUAGGUGACCAGCGUUGUCCGGAUUUACUGGGCGUAAAGAGCGCGCAGGCGGUCGUUCAAGUCGAGUGUGAAAGCCCCCGGCUCAACUGGGGAGGGUCACUCGAUACUGGUCGACUUGAAGGCAGGUGAGGGAAGCGGAAUUCCCGGUGUAGUGGUGAAAUGCGUAGAUAUCGGGAGGAACACCAGUGGCGAAGGCGGCUUCCUGGCCUGUUCUUGACGCUGAGGCGCGAAAGCUAGGGGAGCAAACGGG
RNAcentral lists this ribosomal RNA (253 nucleotides) under uncultured bacterium. RNAcentral's name for it is "partial 16S ribosomal RNA". It matches the Rfam family "Bacterial small subunit ribosomal RNA", at positions 524 to 776 of the family's 1533-position model. The record is from RNAcentral.